AGUGAACGCUGGCGGCAGGCCUAACACAUGCAAGUCGAACGGCAGCACAGUGGAGCUUGCUCCAUGGGUGGCGAGUGGCGGACGGGUGAGGAAUACAUCGGAAUCUGCCCAGCCGUGGGGAUAACAUAGGGAAACUUAUGCUAAUACCGCAUACGACCUACGGGUGAAAGCGGGGAUCGCAAGACCUCGCGCGAUUGGAUGAGCCGAUGUCCGAUUAGCUAGUUGGCGGGGUAAUGGCCCACCAAGGCGACGAUCGGUAGCUGGUCUGAGAGGAUGAUCAGCCACACUGGAACUGAGACACGGUCCAGACUCCUACGGGAGGCAGCAGUGGGGAAUAUUGGACAAUGGGCGCAAGCCUGAUCCAGCCAUGCCGCGUGGGUGAAG
Molecule: ribosomal RNA, 384 nt
Filed under: uncultured bacterium
Lineage: Bacteria
Description: bacterial SSU rRNA
Rfam family: Bacterial small subunit ribosomal RNA
Source: RNAcentral